UAAUCUCACCAUCCAACUCUUUGUUGGCAUGUUGUGGAUUUGGAUGUUGCUGUGUCACAAUGGCUCAUCUGAAAUGCCUGAGUACAUCCUGGAUUGCGAUGUGUUCGGUGUAAUAAACUUUCACCGUCAUUGACCCCAGUGGUCACACUCACUCUACCAAGGCUCUGUGCUUCCAAUCGUCUUAAUCAGACAGUUUUGACA
RNAcentral lists this unclassified non-coding RNA (201 nucleotides) under uncultured Sebacinales. RNAcentral's name for it is "sequence contains ITS2". Lineage: Eukaryota; Fungi; Basidiomycota; Agaricomycetes; Sebacinales. RNAcentral also lists the same sequence under 1 other name. The record is from RNAcentral.